RNAcentral lists this ribosomal RNA (173 nucleotides) under uncultured soil bacterium. RNAcentral describes it as "partial 16S ribosomal RNA". It matches the Rfam family "Bacterial small subunit ribosomal RNA", at positions 355 to 525 of the family's 1533-position model. The record is from RNAcentral.
UGAGGAAUAUUGGACAAUGGGCGCAAGCCUGAUCCAGCCAUGCCGCGUGCAGGAUGACGGUCCUAUGGAUUGUAAACUGCUUUUGUACGGGAAGAAACACUCCUACGUGUAGGAGCUUGACGGUACCGUAAGAAUAAGGAUCGGCUAACUCCGUGCCAGCAGCCGCGGUAAUA